UACGGAGGGUGCGAGCGUUAAUCGGAAUUACUGGGCGUAAAGCGAGUGCAGGCGGUCGCGUGUGUCGGGUGUGAAAGCCCAGGGCUCAACCUUGGAAUUGCACUCGAAACUGCGUGACUAGAAUAUGGUAGAGGAAGACGGAAUUCCACGUGUAGCGGUGAAAUGCGUAGAUAUGUGGAGGAACACCAAUGGCGAAGGCAGUCUUCUGGGCCAAUAUUGACGCUGAGGCUCGAAAGCGUGGGUAGCAAACAGG
Molecule: ribosomal RNA, 253 nt
Filed under: uncultured bacterium
Lineage: Bacteria
Description: partial 16S ribosomal RNA
Rfam family: Bacterial small subunit ribosomal RNA
Source: RNAcentral